GCCCUAGUGGUCUAGUGGUUAAGAUUCAGCACUUUCACUGCCGCAGCCAGGGUUCAUUUCCCAGUCAGGGAA
Molecule: transfer RNA, 72 nt
Filed under: Equus caballus (horse)
Lineage: Eukaryota; Metazoa; Chordata; Mammalia; Perissodactyla; Equidae
Rfam family: tRNA
About the family: Transfer RNA (tRNA) molecules are approximately 80 nucleotides in length.
Source: Rfam by way of RNAcentral